GAUGAACGCUGGCGGCGUGCCUAAUACAUGCAAGUCGAGCGAACAGAUAAGGAGCUUGCUCCUUUGACGUUAGCGGCGGACGGGUGAGUAACACGUGGAUAACCUACCUAUAAGACUGGGAUAACUUCGGGAAACCGGAGCUAAUACCGGAUAAUAUAUUGAACCGCAUGGUUCAAUAGUGAAAGGCGGCUCUGCUGUCACUUAUAGAUGGUUCCGCGCCGUAUUAGCUAGUAGGUAAGGUAACGGCUUACCAAGGCAACGAUACCUAGCCGACCUGAGAGGAUGAUCAGCCACGCUGGCACUGCGACUCGGUCCAGACUAGUACGGGAGGCAGCAGUAAAGACUCUUCCGCAAUAGACGAAAGCCUGACGAAGCAACGCCGCGUCAGUGAUGAAGUUCUACGGAUCGUAGAACUCUGUUAUCAGGGAAAAACAAUUGUGUAAGUAACUGUGCACAUCUUGACGGUACCUGAUCAGAAAGCCACGGCUAACUACGAG
This 497-nucleotide ribosomal RNA is filed under the name uncultured bacterium. RNAcentral describes it as "partial 16S ribosomal RNA". It matches the Rfam family "Bacterial small subunit ribosomal RNA", at positions 28 to 507 of the family's 1533-position model. The record is from RNAcentral.